GCUCAGAUUGAACGCUGGCGGCAGGCCUAACACAUGCAAGUCGAACGGUAGCACAGAGAGCUUGCUCUCGGGUGACGAGUGGCGGACGGGUGAGUAAUGUCUGGGAAACUGCCUGAUGGAGGGGGAUAACUACUGGAAACGGUAGCUAAUACCGCAUAACGUCGCAAGACCAAAGAGGGGGACCUUCGGGCCUCUUGCCAUCAGAUGUGCCCAGAUGGGAUUAGCUAGUAGGUGGGGUAACGGCUCACCUAGGCGACGAUCCCUAGCUGGUCUGAGAGGAUGACCAGCCACACUGGAACUGAGACACGGUCCAGACUCCUACGGGAGGCAGCAGUGGGGAAUAUUGCACAAUGGGCGCAAGCCUGAUGCAGCCAUGCCGCGUGUAUGAAGAAGGCCUUCGGGUUGUAAAGUACUUUCAGCGGGGAGGAAGGUGUUGUGGUUAAUAACCACAGCAAUUGACGUUACCCGCAGAAGAAGCACCGGCUAACUCCGUGCCAGCAGCCGCGGUAAUANGGAGGGUGCAAGCGUUAAUCGGAAUUACUGGGCGUAAAGCGCACGCAGGCGGUCUGUCAAGUCGGAUGUGAAAUCCCCGGGCUCAACCUGGGAACUGCAUUCGAAACUGGCAGGCUAGAGUCUUGUAGAGGGGGGUAGAAUUCCAGGUGUAGCGGUGAAAUGCGUAGAGAUCUGGAGGAAUACCGGUGGCGAAGGCGGCCCCCUGGACAAAGACUGACGCUCAGGUGCGAAAGCGUGGGGAGCAACANGAU
RNAcentral lists this ribosomal RNA (764 nucleotides) under Enterobacter sp. DHL-01. RNAcentral's name for it is "bacterial SSU rRNA". It matches the Rfam family "Bacterial small subunit ribosomal RNA", at positions 22 to 778 of the family's 1533-position model. The record is from RNAcentral. Lineage: Bacteria; Pseudomonadati; Pseudomonadota; Gammaproteobacteria; Enterobacterales; Enterobacteriaceae.